RNAcentral lists this small nuclear RNA (111 nucleotides) under Papio anubis (olive baboon). RNAcentral also lists the same sequence under 1 other name. Lineage: Eukaryota; Metazoa; Chordata; Mammalia; Primates; Cercopithecidae. The record is from RNAcentral.
GUGCUUACUUCCGCAACUCAUAUGCUAACAUUGAAAUAAUACAGAGAAGAUGAGCAUGGCUCUGUACAAGGACAAAGUGGCCUCAGAACACAAAAAGAGAUGCACUCUCUA